RNAcentral lists this ribosomal RNA (468 nucleotides) under uncultured bacterium. Its description in RNAcentral is "partial 16S ribosomal RNA". It matches the Rfam family "Bacterial small subunit ribosomal RNA", at positions 28 to 507 of the family's 1533-position model. The record is from RNAcentral.
GACGAACGCUGGCGGCGUGCUUAACACAUGCAAGUCGAACGGAAAGGCCCUGCUUUUGUGGGGUGCUCGAGUGGCGAACGGGUGAGUAACAAGUGAGUAACCUGCCCUUGACUUUGGGAUAACUUCAGGAAACUGGGGCUAAUACCGGAUAGGAACUCCUGCUGCAUGGUGGGGGUUGGAAAGUUUCGGCGGUUGGGGAUGGACUCGCGGCUUAUCAGCUUGUUGGUGGGGUAGUGGCUUACCAAGGCUUUGACGGGUAGCCGGCCUGAGAGGGUGACCGGCCACAUUGGGACUGAGAUACGGACCAGACUCCUACGGGAGGCAGCAGUGGGGAAUCUUGCACAAUGGGCGGAAGCCUGAUGCAGCAACGCCGCGUGCGGGAUGACGGCCUUCGGGUUGUAAACCGCUUUCGCCUGUGACGAAGCGUGAGUGACGGUAAUGGGUAAAGAAGCACCGGCUAACUACGUG